GGAAGUUGUGACUCAUAGCCACAGUGGACUUGUCAGGGAAGUGACUCAGCACUUUAGCACCUUAGCACCCACAAGGACUGGGCAGCCUGGAACAGAAGAAAGCUGCAGGACAGUUCUCUGGAGGGGAAGAAAAUCAAUGUACACCUUUCCUCUGUGGGAUAAAAGUAAAAGCAAUUCUUGACUUUAGCAGUCUGUAAAGAAACCUGAACCUAAGUACAAGCAGAGCAACCAGAGAAAUAGAGGAAGACUGAAUUAAACAGGAGCUGCAGAACUUGGCAGGCCGAUAACAAUACAAAUGGAUUUUCUCUAACAGAGAAAAACAGCUGUCCCCAUUAUUUGAAUGCUUCACCUUUCUCCAUUCCAUUAAUUGGGUCUUUGAUCACAAGCUGAGGUGGAGAGGCCCUGAUAAGGAAUAGGUUAUUAGUAAAGUAGCCUAAAGGAAUGAAUUGGGCCUGGUACUUGCUGCAGAAGAUGAGAUAAACUCAUAAUGCCUGUGUAUGUGAGUGGUAGAGAGUGAUAGGGCCCUCAGCCUGCCCUGAACUGCUUGCAAAAGGGAGAAGACUAAUACUCUAAUGCUAUGAUAGCUAAUGCAGGAUAUAAAUUUAGCUCCCGGGAGUGGAAUAGGAUAAAAAUUCCAUAAAGAGUUUUUUUCUGUAAAUGGCUUACACUUUUAUAUCAAACUAUGUCAGAGUAUUCACUAAAUAAAGUAAAAUAAAGCAGUUUCUUGAUCUUGCUA
Molecule: long non-coding RNA, 736 nt
Filed under: Monodelphis domestica (gray short-tailed opossum)
Lineage: Eukaryota; Metazoa; Chordata; Mammalia; Didelphimorphia; Didelphidae
Description: lncRNA (ENSMODG00000037181.1)
Source: RNAcentral